This 1875-nucleotide long non-coding RNA is filed under the name Vulpes vulpes (red fox). RNAcentral's name for it is "lncRNA (ENSVVUG00000018530.1)". Lineage: Eukaryota; Metazoa; Chordata; Mammalia; Carnivora; Canidae. The record is from RNAcentral.
CCCCGCGCCCGCGGAGCCCCGGCUCCCGCCUGCCCAGCCCCCUCCCGGGGAGCGAGCCGGGACCCAGGGGUGGGAGCAGAGUCGGGGCUUUGUGGCGCCGGGGGCCGAGGAAGAAUGAAACGUGCAGUUGGGAGUGUUGCUCGCGUCCCAGGGAGCAGCGCAGGCCCGAUUGUCUGCCGCCGAGAUGGCCUUUUGUUCGGAGCAUAAGGUUUAAGAAACACACACACGUUUUCUGGGGUCUCUUGUUGGAUGUAAAUGUGCCGCAUCCAGACGCUCGCGGNNNNNNNNNNNNNNNNNNNNNNNNNCGCCCCGCCCCGCCCCGCCCCGCCCCGGCGACCGGGACCGUUGGGACGCGGACCUCACCCAGACUUCUGGGCCGCCGGCACUGCCUUCGCCCCGUUUCACUCCAGACUAGCCAAGCAUCCCACGGAGAUGAUAAAGCAAACAAUAACAUCUGAUCAUGACGUCCACGAGAUAAUGUGCCCGGCAAAGUUCUUUAGGAAUCGGGAUGAGCGGGAGGGUGAGGGAGUGAUCGUUUCCCUUCGUUUUCCUUAAACGUGACUUUAAGAGAUAAAUGGUGAAGUUUAUACCUUGGCCUGCUGGACAGCCGGUCCGCCCCAUGGCACGAAGCUCGGCAUCAAAGGGCCAAAUUAGACAUUCGACCGGGAGCCCUCGAAGCUGAGGAUGUUACCUUUGAAGAACAGAAACAAUGAAAAUACAGAGGAAUUGCAUUUGGAUACUUCUUCCUGUCAAUCAUCUUUGCCAGAUUCCUAUUUGAACAUCCUGAAAAUGAGGAAGACAUCAGAUCUCGCCUUAAGGAAGUCUGAUACCCAGGAGAUGAUCCGAGUUUCAACUCUCUGUGGUGAAAAGAGGGUGAAGAGCAGCAGAAAAUCCAAUUCUCUUGACCUUCAGGACAUGGAGCAGAACUCAUCGCUUCCACCUGGCCUACCCAAGUGGCUCCAGGAAAAUUCAGCAAGGAUAGUUGUCCUUCAUGUUUCUAUUGUAGUACCCUUUCUUCCUGACCUUCUAUUGCUCCUCUGUGCCUAGGUACAGAAAGUGAAAAGAAGCAAUCUGACCAAUUCAUAUAUAUAUAAAUACACCAGUGUGUUAAUCUUUCCAAAGCUACCAAGAAGGCAAAAGAAGAUUGCUUCAUGGAAGGCAGUGCGGAAAGCAGGGAUUAAAAAAUAUCAUUCACUUAUUGACAAAUUUCUUGAAUGUCAAGAAUGCUUGGUAUAUAAAGAUAAUUAUCACACAGUCCACACUGGGUAUUUUGCAUGUGGAGCCAAUAUGAAUUUUUGGGAGCCAGAGUGGACUAUAGUAGGCAGAAUAAGGCUGCUUCUCUUCAAUAGAUGUAUCUGCCCUCCUCUAUUUUCUUACAUGAGGAACAAAAGGAACUUUACAGAUAGAAAUGACGUUAUGGACCUUCAAAUAGAGAAAUUAUCUUGAAUUAUCUGGAAGGAGCCAGUGUAAUGUCAUGGGCUCUGCAAAGUGGCAGAGGAAGACAGAAGUCAGUGAGACAGAUGUGAAGAACAAAAGGCAGAAGAGAUUUGAAGUGAAAAUAACCACCACUGCUAGCUUUGCAUAUGAAGAAAAUGGCUUCCACAAGCCAGGGAAUGUGUGGUCCUUGGAAGCUGGGAACUACCCUCGCUGAGAGCUGAGGAAGUCAGUCCUACAACUGCAAGGAAUUCAUUUCUGCCAACAACAUACACAAGGAAGGAAACGGGUUCUGUCCUACAGAAGUUAACCUAUAGAACUGUGACAGCCAUAACUUUGUCUGUUUGAAGUGGCUUGGUUUGUAGUAAAUUGUUAUUGCAGUUACAGAAAACUAAUACAAAUGGGAAUAAAAAGAACGCUUACCUUAAAAAGAGAAUUAAA